RNAcentral lists this long non-coding RNA (371 nucleotides) under Rattus norvegicus (Norway rat). RNAcentral describes it as "long non-coding RNA NONRATT025394". The record is from RNAcentral. Lineage: Eukaryota; Metazoa; Chordata; Mammalia; Rodentia; Muridae.
CCUCCAUCACAGCAUGGCUGUACUGGUGCUAUUGCUCUGCCUGGUGACAUUUCCAAGCUGUGUCCUGUCCCAGGUGCAACUGAAGGAGUCAGGACCUGGUCUGGUGCAGCCCUCACAGACCCUGUCCCUCACCUGCACUGUCUCUGGAUUCUCAUUAACCGGCUACAAUGUACACUGGGUUCGCCAACCUCCAGUAAAGGGUCUGGAGUGGAUGGGAAGAAUGAGGUAUGAUGGAGACACAUAUUAUAAUUCAGCUCUCAAAUCCAGACUGAGCAUCAGCAGGGACACCUCCAAGAACCAAGUUUUCUUAAAAAUGAACAGUCUGCAAACUGAUGAUACAGGCACUUACUACUGUACCAGAGACACAGUGA